Molecule: ribosomal RNA, 700 nt
Filed under: uncultured bacterium
Lineage: Bacteria
Description: bacterial SSU rRNA
Rfam family: Bacterial small subunit ribosomal RNA
Source: RNAcentral
UCAGGCCUAACACAUGCAAGUCGAACGGUAACAGAAAGUGCUUGCACUUUGCUGACGAGUGGCGGACGGGUGAGUAAUGCUUGGGAAUUUGCCUUGAGGUGGGGGACAACAGUUGGAAACGACUGCUAAUACCGCAUAUUGUCUACGGACUAAAGGGGGCUUCGGCUCUCGCCUUUAGAGAAGCCCAAGUGGGAUUAGGUAGUUGGUGAGGUAAAGGCUCACCAAGCCGACGAUCCCUAGCUGGUCUGAGAGGAUGAUCAGCCACACUGGAACUGAGACACGGUCCAGACUCCUACGGGAGGCAGCAGUGGGGAAUAUUGCACAAUGGGCGCAAGCCUGAUGCAGCCAUGCCGCGUGUGUGAAGAAGGCCUUCGGGUUGUAAAGCACUUUCAGUCGUGAGGAAGGGUUAGUAGUUAAUACCUGCUAGCUUUGACGUUAGCGACAGAAGAAGCACCGGCUAACUCCGUGCCAGCAGCCGCGGUAAUACGGAGGGUGCGAGCGUUAAUCGGAAUUACUGGGCGUAAAGCGUACGCAGGCGGUUAGUUAAGUCAGAUGUGAAAGCCCCGGGCUCAACCUGGGAACUGCAUUUGAAACUGGCUAACUAGAGUGCGGCAGAGGGUGGUAGAAUUUCAGGUGUAGCGGUGAAAUGCGUAGAGAUCUGAAGGAAUACCGAUGGCGAAGGCAGCCACCUGGGCCGACA